RNAcentral lists this ribosomal RNA (2548 nucleotides) under Escherichia coli. Its description in RNAcentral is "partial 23S ribosomal RNA". It matches the Rfam family "Bacterial large subunit ribosomal RNA", at positions 397 to 2925 of the family's 2925-position model. The record is from RNAcentral. Lineage: Bacteria; Pseudomonadati; Pseudomonadota; Gammaproteobacteria; Enterobacterales; Enterobacteriaceae.
CUGUGAGCUCGAUGAGUAGGGCGGGACACGUGGUAUCCUGUCUGAAUAUGGGGGGACCAUCCUCCAAGGCUAAAUACUCCUGACUGACCGAUAGUGAACCAGUACCGUGAGGGAAAGGCGAAAAGAACCCCGGCGAGGGGAGUGAAAAAGAACCUGAAACCGUGUACGUACAAGCAGUGGGAGCCUCUUAAUGGGGUGACUGCGUACCUUUUGUAUAAUGGGUCAGCGACUUAUAUUCUGUAGCAAGGUUAACCGAAUAGGGGAGCCGAAGGGAAACCGAGUCUUAACUGGGCGUUAAGUUGCAGGGUAUAGACCCGAAACCCGGUGAUCUAGCCAUGGGCAGGUUGAAGGUUGGGUAACACUAACUGGAGGACCGAACCGACUAAUGUUGAAAAAUUAGCGGAUGACUUGUGGCUGGGGGUGAAAGGCCAAUCAAACCGGGAGAUAGCUGGUUCUCCCCGAAAGCUAUUUAGGUAGCGCCUCGUGAAUUCAUCUCCGGGGGUAGAGCACUGUUUCGGCAAGGGGGUCAUCCCGACUUACCAACCCGAUGCAAACUGCGAAUACCGGAGAAUGUUAUCACGGGAGACACACGGCGGGUGCUAACGUCCGUCGUGAAGAGGGAAACAACCCAGACCGCCAGCUAAGGUCCCAAAGUCAUGGUUAAGUGGGAAACGAUGUGGGAAGGCCCAGACAGCCAGGAUGUUGGCUUAGAAGCAGCCAUCAUUUAAAGAAAGCGUAAUAGCUCACUGGUCGAGUCGGCCUGCGCGGAAGAUGUAACGGGGCUAAACCAUGCACCGAAGCUGCGGCAGCGACACUAUGUGUUGUUGGGUAGGGGAGCGUUCUGUAAGCCUGUGAAGGUGUGCUGUGAGGCAUGCUGGAGGUAUCAGAAGUGCGAAUGCUGACAUAAGUAACGAUAAAGCGGGUGAAAAGCCCGCUCGCCGGAAGACCAAGGGUUCCUGUCCAACGUUAAUCGGGGCAGGGUGAGUCGACCCCUAAGGCGAGGCCGAAAGGCGUAGUCGAUGGGAAACAGGUUAAUAUUCCUGUACUUGGUGUUACUGCGAAGGGGGGACGGAGAAGGCUAUGUUGGCCGGGCGACGGUUGUCCCGGUUUAAGCGUGUAGGCUGGUUUUCCAGGCAAAUCCGGAAAACCAAGGCUGAGGCGUGAUGACGAGGCACUACGGUGCUGAAGCGACAAAUGCCCUGCUUCCAGGAAAAGCCUCUAAGCAUCAGGUAACAUCAAAUCGUACCCCAAACCGACACAGGUGGUCAGGUAGAGAAUACCAAGGCGCUUGAGAGAACUCGGGUGAAGGAACUAGGCAAAAUGGUGCCGUAACUUCGGGAGAAGGCACGCUGAUAUGUAGGUGAAGCGACUUGCUCGUGGAGCUGAAAUCAGUCGAAGAUACCAGCUGGCUGCAACUGUUUAUUAAAAACACAGCACUGUGCAAACACGAAAGUGGACGUAUACGGUGUGACGCCUGCCCGGUGCCGGAAGGUUAAUUGAUGGGGUUAGCGGUAACGCGAAGCUCUUGAUCGAAGCCCCGGUAAACGGCGGCCGUAACUAUAACGGUCCUAAGGUAGCGAAAUUCCUUGUCGGGUAAGUUCCGACCUGCACGAAUGGCGUAAUGAUGGCCAGGCUGUCUCCACCCGAGACUCAGUGAAAUUGAACUCGCUGUGAAGAUGCAGUGUACCCGCGGCAAGACGGAAAGACCCCGUGAACCUUUACUAUAGCUUGACACUGAACAUUGAGCCUUGAUGUGUAGGAUAGGUGGGAGGCUUUGAAGUGUGGACGCCAGUCUGCAUGGAGCCGACCUUGAAAUACCACCCUUUAAUGUUUGAUGUUCUAACGUUGGCCCGUAAUCCGGGUUGCGGACAGUGUCUGGUGGGUAGUUUGACUGGGGCGGUCUCCUCCUAAAGAGUAACGGAGGAGCACGAAGGUUGGCUAAUCCUGGUCGGACAUCAGGAGGUUAGUGCAAUGGCAUAAGCCAGCUUGACUGCGAGCGUGACGGCGCGAGCAGGUGCGAAAGCAGGUCAUAGUGAUCCGGUGGUUCUGAAUGGAAGGGCCAUCGCUCAACGGAUAAAAGGUACUCCGGGGAUAACAGGCUGAUACCGCCCAAGAGUUCAUAUCGACGGCGGUGUUUGGCACCUCGAUGUCGGCUCAUCACAUCCUGGGGCUGAAGUAGGUCCCAAGGGUAUGGCUGUUCGCCAUUUAAAGUGGUACGCGAGCUGGGUUUAGAACGUCGUGAGACAGUUCGGUCCCUAUCUGCCGUGGGCGCUGGAGAACUGAGGGGGGCUGCUCCUAGUACGAGAGGACCGGAGUGGACGCAUCACUGGUGUUCGGGUUGUCAUGCCAAUGGCACUGCCCGGUAGCUAAAUGCGGAAGAGAUAAGUGCUGAAAGCAUCUAAGCACGAAACUUGCCCCGAGAUGAGUUCUCCCUGAGACUUAGAGUCUCCUGAAGGAACGUUGAAGACGACGACGUUGAUAGGCCGGGUGUGUAAGCGCAGCGAUGCGUUGAGCUAACCGGUACUAAUGAACCGUGAGGCUUAACCUU